This 250-nucleotide ribosomal RNA is filed under the name uncultured bacterium. Its description in RNAcentral is "partial 16S ribosomal RNA". It matches the Rfam family "Bacterial small subunit ribosomal RNA", at positions 524 to 772 of the family's 1533-position model. The record is from RNAcentral.
UACGGAGGAUGCGAGCGUUAUCCGGAUUUAUUGGGUUUAAAGGGUGCGUAGGCUGUUAUAUAAGUCAGUGGUGAAAUAUUCGGGCUCAACCGGGGAAUUGCUUCCAAUACUGUAAUGGCUUGAGUGCGAAAGGGGCAAGUGGAAUUCCAGGUGUAGCGGUGGAAUGCGUAGAUAUCUGGGAGAACGCCAAAGGCGAAGGCAGCUUGCUGGGUCGUAACUGACACUGAGGAACGAAAGCUAGGGGAGCAAA